RNAcentral lists this ribosomal RNA (253 nucleotides) under uncultured bacterium. RNAcentral's name for it is "partial 16S ribosomal RNA". It matches the Rfam family "Bacterial small subunit ribosomal RNA", at positions 524 to 776 of the family's 1533-position model. The record is from RNAcentral.
UACGUAGGGGGCUAGCGUUGUCCGGAAUCAUUGGGCGUAAAGAGCGUGUAGGCGGUCCGGUAAGUCCGCUGUGAAAGUCGGGGGCUCAACCCUCGAAUGCCGGUGGAUACUGUCGGGCUAGAGUGCGGAAGAGGCGAGUGGAAUUCCUGGUGUAGCGGUGAAAUGCGCGGAUAUCAGGAGGAACACCUAUUGCGAAGGCAGCUCGCUGGGACGUAACUGACGCUGAGACGCGAAAGCGUGGGGAGCAAACAGG